AGGUGUAUCUGCAGCAAAGACUUUUCAGGCUCCUUUCCUGGUUGCUGCACACAAGCCCCGCUCCCAUGGCAGGGGUCCUCCGAGAAGGAGGAACAAACCUAUAGGAGACAGGAAGUCCCUGGAGGCAUCCAAACAGAUGGACAGGAUCUGGAGUGACCUGGAGAGACAACGUGAGAUGGAAGGAAAGCCUGUGCUGAAGGCAGCAUUUCCCAGAGGAAGCAGUGGCUCUAUGGCAGCCUCUGCUGCAGGAAGGGAGGCGAUGCCAGGCACAGGCCCCGGAGAUUGGGAACGUGACUUCCGUCAUUUGUUAAAGCACAGUUUAAGGAUCUUGGAGCUUGGUGGUGGU
This is a long non-coding RNA of Passer domesticus (house sparrow), 346 nucleotides long. RefSeq lists it as uncharacterized. The record is from RefSeq and is a predicted model, not a curated record. The transcript has 4 exons. NCBI's taxonomy places the organism in Eukaryota, Metazoa, Chordata, Aves, Passeriformes, Passeridae.